RNAcentral lists this non-coding RNA (49 nucleotides) under Trichobilharzia regenti. Lineage: Eukaryota; Metazoa; Platyhelminthes; Trematoda; Strigeidida; Schistosomatidae. The record is from RNAcentral.
GUACUGCUGAAGAGUCCAAAACUAGGCUGACGAAACAGAUGUCCAGUAC